CUAAUGGUUGGGUGCGUCUUAUAGAGCGAAAAAUACGGUAUGUGCCCAAGGAGGAGAACUGGCCCAAAGCAUUGGGAAGUAACAGCUGAGAAGACUGCCUGGGGCAUUUUUGUCGUGCGUGAUGCUCAAAGUUCCUUACCAGCGCUGUCUUUAGCAUCUGCGCCGCCGGGGUGCAAAGCUCCGCCCAGCGCCCCCAGAUUUAGUUUAGCCCCCAAAUUAACUUUUAUUAUGCUUAGGUCAGACACCACACACACGCCUUAUCUUUUGUUUACGAAAGAAGGGAGGAAAAAGAAACAGACUUCCUUAUUUGCACAUUUAUUUACAAUACACUUAUACUUAAGUAUACAACACCACCACACUUAAACUUAAAAGUAUUGUUUAGGCACCUACUUAGUAGAAACAUUGGUUGUGUCAAAGGAGCUGCUGACCCUGCUGCCGCAUAGCAGCUCAAUACAGUACGUAACAUAAUAUUUUGAUGUAAGAGUUAAUUUCGCAUGUACAGCGCUGUUGUGAAUGACAAGAGCCGCUGCUGGUGCGGCGCAUCUUUGGUAAAUGAGAGCACAAAGUUAAAAGUCCUUUAGUGAAACAGUAAGUAUACAUUUCGGUAAUACCUAGGUAUAUAUGUAUUUUGUUUUUCUAGCUUGAUCAAAAUUAUUAUUAUUUCAUAACAGGUAGAUAGUUAAGAGCUUAGGCGGCUUCAGUGGUGGGCACCUGGUGCCCCCCAGAAUUUGGCAGCCAGGUGCCCCACACCCCUUGCCCUCAUGGGUAAAGACGGCCCUGUUCCUUACAGCCUGGAAAGUGACGAGUCUGGAUGUAUAAUGUAGUAUAGGAUCUGAAAUAAUUCUUAACCCCCCUUUAUCAAAAGAUUCCAGGGCGGUGUCUGAAAGCGUGAUUUAAGAUUGUUUCACACAACAUAUCAAGGCUAUUGAGAAGCAACCAAUAAGCAAAACAAACAAAACCCCGUAUUUACUCCAAUCUAAUGCUCACCUUUUUUUGCCAACUUAUGUUGCAAAAAUUAAGGUGUGCAUUAGAUUCAAUGGCACAUUUACAUCCACCAGAAAAUACUUUUUGGGUUUCAAGGUUCUGAAAAACGAGAUGCGCAUUAGAUUUGAUGGUGCAUUAGGCUCAAGUAAUUAUGGUAAAUAACUCCCACCAAAAGCUAGAAACGAAAUAAAACAAUUCCAAAAGUUAUCUAGGAUCUAAAAUGCUCCUGUUCGUCCGCCUUGUGAGUAUCUCAGUUCAUAGGCUGGGGCAAAUGCUUUCCUAAUGACUGGAUUGUAUAUUUUGAUGGCACCAGCUUGAGCCUUUUAUUGGCUUGGCAAAACAUAGGCUUGCAGUUUCACACUGGGCAUUUUUGUGUUCGUAAUACAAUGGCUGCAUUCACACACAAUUCUAAGCUAUAGUUUGUUUUCAACAUGGCUUGUUCUGGGCACCCUGAGUCAUUAUGAAUAUCACAUAACAUCCUAUUUCUCUAAACCUUGGUUUAUUUGUUGCUGCCUUGGCCUCAUGACUUUGUGGCUUGAUCAGUGCCUGGAAUGGAAUGGUGGAACAAACCGUGGUUAAGCGAGGCUAUUGAGUUCAAAUGUAAUACCAAACCAAAGGUGAAACAAGCCACGGUUUGUGAGCCAACAACAAAUUAUGGCUUUACAUCAUGGCUUUGUGCUGGAAAACAAACCAUAGUUUUACUAAACAAACCAUGGUUUACCUUUAUGUGUGACCGGGCGAAUAGCUCCAUAGAACAAUAGGAUAGCAGAAUAACAUUUGGAACACAUCUUCAUGACACCAUUCUGUACCGCAGGUUAGAACCCCAACUUAAACCCUGCACUCAUUUUCAAGCCAUCAGCAACGCAGGAGACAAUACAGGGCACAGAGGGGGAGGUUGCCAGGCUGACAACGGGCAAUGAUGUAAGCGGAAGUUGCACUUCAGCGAUGGCAGCAGCGAGGGGAGCAUCCCGUUGCCUAUCCAUGGCUGCUGCUGCCAGCCUCCUCCCUUGGGCAGCUCAUAGUGGCUGCCGGAGAGCAGGCGAGGAAGAAGAGAGGCCAUGGCGCCAGGGCCCAGCCCUGCAUGAUGCGCUGGCUCCGAGGAGCAGGCACGGACAGGGCCAUCCUGGGUGGAAAUAAAGGGGAGCAGAGCAGAGCACAAGGAGUCUUGAUUUUUUAAAAAGCGCUUUGUGCAUCCACAUCUAAUCUUGUCCUCUUCUAAAAAAAAAAAUUCCAUUUUUUGCAUUACUUUUUGUAAAUCUUACCAAAAAAUAAAAUAAAAUCGGGAUUAAUUAAGGGGUUUUCUCAGGACGCUGGAGGGUGUGUGUGCUGUGUCCUAUUUGUGUACGUGGCGGUGGCAUUUGCCCUUCUUCUGAUAGGAAAUGCUUGCGGGGGGAGCACCAGGGAAGAGAUGGCAUACAAACCAAAUCAAUAAGGAUAAGUAUAGGUGUUAAAAGAGCCCCCAACUCUCCACCCCCCCUCGCUUGUCUCAUGGGCCCAAAGAGAGCGCCCCAAUGCCCCUUCCAUCGCUUCCCCCUUUGCAAAGGGACAACCUGUUCCCCUUACUCCCACCCGCCUGAACCUACUGCAGCAAUUCAGACUGUAAAUAUUAGGAGUAGGACGUCCUUAGUGCAAGUGGAAACAACUCUGAGC
Molecule: non-coding RNA, 2634 nt
Organism: Podarcis lilfordi (Lilford's wall lizard)
Lineage: Eukaryota; Metazoa; Chordata; Lepidosauria; Squamata; Lacertidae
Source: the annotation of a GenBank genome assembly